UUGGUGUUUGGUGAGCUCGGUGGGCUCGCAGUUUGCACGUGAAAAAACUGUUCUUCGCACGCGUGCCAUUUCGCAGAAUGUGUUGUAUGAGAUGAAUUGCGAUGCAGCGGUGGGAUAUUUUCCCGGUAAGUGCUAUAGCGGAACCCAGAGUAGGAGCAGUUUUCUCACAGAACCGAAAAAAUCAACAUGGCAUCGAAAGCCAGCGCUGCCGUGUCCUCGUUGCGCGCUGGAGAGAAGAAGAACCUGCCAUUGCGGACCAAAUUUCGUGUUACAACGUUGACGACGACGAAUACGUUGGCGGAAUUAACUGGGGCGAGCCGUAACACUCGAGCAAGCAGUAAGUGCUCGAAAAGAAGAGGACACAAGUUGCAGUGUAUACCGCGACUUUUCGUUGGUGUGUGCACGUGUGUGUAUAUUGACAUCAACGAAGGAACCUCUCUGACACUAUUCGUGAGAACAGGACGAGGCGCACAGCACAGCAGCUUGCCAAAUCUGUUGUUUUCUUGGCUGGACGUGCGGCAUGUGUGCAGAAAAAGGAAAACCAGGUGCUGAAGUGUCAACUGGACACCUCGCAGAACA
Ornithodoros turicata is the source of this 579-nucleotide long non-coding RNA. RefSeq lists it as uncharacterized. Lineage: Eukaryota; Metazoa; Arthropoda; Arachnida; Ixodida; Argasidae. The transcript is spliced from 3 exons. The record is from RefSeq and is a predicted model, not a curated record.